Molecule: long non-coding RNA, 4475 nt
Filed under: Salvia miltiorrhiza (redroot sage)
Lineage: Eukaryota; Viridiplantae; Streptophyta; Magnoliopsida; Lamiales; Lamiaceae
Description: long non-coding RNA (SMIL_LNC000042)
Source: RNAcentral
UUCCAUUUUCGUCCAUACUUAGGGCUUAAUUAAGCUUUACUAAUUACGCAUAUAUAUACUCUAAUCUAACCCUAAAUAUUCCUCUCUCUCCUUAUUCUCUCAUUUUCACGCCGCCCCCACUAUCUCUCAUUUUCUCUCUCUGUGUCUGAAUCGACGAUGAAUUGGUGCCCUUCUCUUGUGCCGACGGCAGUGAUGAAAUUGGAAAUCUUUUUCGAUUAUAUCCCUUUUUUGAGAUCUGCUCUGAUCUCACACGAUGGUGGCUUCACUACCCUUGUCAACGUGUUUGCAGGCCAAAACCCUUUGCUUCCCUAUCCGACAAUAGAGAUGAAAUUGGAAAUUUUUUCCGAUUCUGAGCCGAUGAGUCUUCAGAUCUGUGAAGUUUUGGAAGAAAUCGAUUUCAGAUGUAAAGUUUAUUCAUUUUGUUCGAUUUUGUUCAUUUCUUCAUUUUGUUCGAUUUUGUUCAUUUUGUAAAGUUAAUUCAGAUGUAAAGUCAUAUCUUCAUUUUGUUCAAUUGUAAAAUAGAGAGAGAAAAGUUAAUUAAGAUGUAAAGUGUAUGAGAGAGAGAAUCGAUUGUAAUUAAGAUAAAUAAAAUAGUGGGUCAUAGUAUUUAAAACACUAAUUAAACAUGACUCCUUUCUUAAUUCCCGUGCCGAAAAGUUUCGGGUCACUUAUAGUGGGACGGAGAGUACUAAUUACGAAAUAUGUAUUAUGUAUAUAUUAUAUAGAUUAUAGUGCUUGAUUAAUCUUAAAUAUUCAAAAUUUCUUUUGUACUUGUUGGCUAAAUAUUCAUGAAAGAAAGAUAAAUAAAUACAUAUGUUAAAAGUCCAUACAUGGUUAUAAUCUUAUCUAUAUUAAUAUUUUGACAAUUUUAUUUAUAUUUAUUAAUAUUUUAUAUACAUAUACUGAACAUUUUAUGAUCAUUUCAGACAAAAAUAUAUUAUUACAUAUUUAAUUAAAAAAAUAUGUUAUUGCAUAUUUAAUAUGGUCAUAUAGGGUAAAGUUAGGCUACAAUCUCAUUUUAAAAAUAAGAAGCAAAAAUUAAGAAAAUGUGAAAAAACAUAUGAGUAUGUUCUAUAGUAGAUGAAAAAAAUAAACAAAUAAAAUUAAGAAAAAAUAGUUAUUUUUAAAAAUAGUAAAAUAAUUUUGACAAGAAAAUAUAAUUUACUAUUUUUAGAAGUGAUUCUCCUUUUAUAUAUAUACAUAUCAAUUAUCAAGUGUAUUCAUUUAGAGAAAGAAAUUCAAUGAUCAGAUUUUAACAAUAUUUAGCUAAAUACUCUAACUAACAUAGUUCAAUUCAUCUACAACUUUUUGUCAAAAAUGGAUUUUUUUUGUAGUAAUGUUUGUUUAGCUAUUCGUAAGUAGGGUUGUCAAUCGGUUUAGAUUCGGUUACCCGUACCCAAAUUUUCGAUUAUCCGAAUUGAAAUAUACCAUAUUUCACUAAUCGUUCCCGAACCGUUUUAGGUGUUCGGUUACCUAAUAACCGUUUCGGUUAUUUGGGUAUCCGAAUACCCAUUUAAAAAAUUAAAACUCACAAUAAUUUGCUAGUUAGAGAGAGGAUUUGAACCCUGAUUUCCAAAAAAUACACUAAGCAACUUAUCACACUCAAUUAAAGCUCCUUCUGUGCGCUAGGCGUAGGAGGCGUCGAUUUGUGUUUCUGUAGAUGCUGCCGCGUUGGAUACCUCUCUGGGUUAAACCGUGGCGAAGCUUAGCACCGGUCUGGGAGAUUGGGUUAACCGAUACCCUGAAUUUUUUUAAAAAGUGAUAAUCGAAACCAAUCCAAUGACCGAAAAUUGUGGUUAUUGAAUACCAGAACCUGAGAAUUUCGGUUCGAAUUAUUUGAUUAAUCCAAUACGUGGGGAACAAUUAGACAAACCCCAUUCGUGGGUACGGUUCAUCCUUAAUCUAAUUUUAAUUUUGAUUUUAAUUUUUAUUUAAAUAUUUGUUCUUUUUUUAAAUCCUAGUAAUUUUUUAGUUUUUUUCAUUUUCACUUAAUUUUUAAUUAUUGCAAUAUUUUUAAUUUUAAAAUCUUAUAUUAUAUUUUAACUAAUAUAAUAUUGAAUUUUUAAUAUUAAUAAAAUAUUUAAUUUUAAAAUAGAAGUAUAGAAAUAUAAUUAAAGUGUAGAAAUGUGAAUUUUGUGAAAAUGGGGAUCUAAGCACCCACCUAAGACACAAUGCAUUGGAGAGGGGUGUGUCUUAGGUGGGGACCACUUCUAAGACACCCCUCUAAGACACUUGCAUUGAAGGUGCUCUACGUAUGCUGCUUAUCAUUCCUAUAAAUAUGGAGUUAGAUGAGAAAAUAUUGCAGGGCGAGGAUUAUCUUAAUCUUAAGUUAUAUAAUUAUAAGUUGAAUUAUAUCUAUUAUAGAUUGUUAAUGAAGUUAGAUGAGAAAAUAUUGCAGGGCGAGGAUUAUCUUAAUCUUGAGAAAAUAUGGAAACAUUAGUAGCAGAAAACAAGUCAUCUGCCCCCAGACAACUCCAUAGGAAGGAGGUUGUUGAUUGAAUGGUCUCCCCAGUUGAAUCUCUUCUGCAGCCUCUCGUUUUCGAGCUUCCUCGUGAUCUCGACUUGCUGCCACACCUCCCACCUCUCCGCCAGCCCUUCUCCCUCCAGCAUCCGCACAACCUCCGACAUUGCUGGACGCUCUUCUGGGGAAGACUGAGUACAGAGCAGAGCAACCUGAACCAUCAUCUCCACUUCGUGGAUGUCGUAUUUCCUCUCUAAAUUGCAGUCCACAAUGGCUUCCAGUCUAUUCUCCUGCUGCAGUUUCUUCACCUUCAAAUGGUGAGAGUGCAAAACCAUGAGAGAUUGCAUGAAUUUAAAGCUAAAGAAAUUGCAUCAGACGGUGGCUUACAUGGUCAAGCAGCAAGACAUCGUCUUCUUCUUCCAAGCGUGAAAAAUCUAUAGCUCGCUGGCCAGUUACAAGCUCCAAAAGCAUCACUCCAUAACCAAAAACAUCGGUCUUUUCUGAGGAUUUUCCUGUGGACAAGUACUCGGGAGCUAUGUGGCCCAUCGUUCCACGCACCUGAGUUGUAAUGUUGGCUUUCCUGACAUCAACUAACUUAGCCAAACCAAAGUCACCAACAACAGCUUGAAAAUCUUCAUCUAGCAGCACAUUUGCAGCUUUAACAUCACGGUGAAUGAUUUUAGGAUUACAGUGUUCGUGGAGGUACUCCAGCGCACGUGCUGUGCCUAACGCCACCAAUUUUCUGGUCACCCAAUCCAAUAGAGGGUUCCCGGGUUUAACCUCUGUUCAGAUACGAAAAUACAGAUAAAUAUAACUCAGAUCUUCUACUCAAUUUCCUAGUCUCUUUUGAUAAAUGAGCAAAGAAAGAGAAGCAGAAAUGAGAUGAUACCUCUCAAACGAGAGGCAACACUCAAGUUUUGCAUGAAAGGGUAAACCAGAAGGCGUUCAGUUGGAGUAGUGCAAAAGCCAAUCAAACGCAAAAGGUUUCUGUGAACAGCCACACUUAUCAUCUCAACUUCACGCUGAAAUGCUGUAUCGCCCCCAGGACUCUCAAAAUCCAUCAAACGUUUUACAGCAACUUUGGUGUUAUCACCGAGAAUCCCUUUAUAAACCUUUCCAAAGCCCCCCUGUCCGAGGACAUUCUUUUCACUAAAACCAUCGGUGGCCAGCUGCAGUUCUCUCCAAGAAAACCUCUUCAAUUGACCAAAUUCAAUUCUCUGGUCCACGUCACCUGAGCACACAAUUUAAAAGAUUAAUGAAAGAAAACCAGCAGCACAUGGUUUCAACUUUGAUGUUCCUGACGAAGAGCGUAACAGUAAAAUGCCCACCAGAAAUUAGUGGAGAAAGAAUACAUAUUGAAACAAACCUGCAACAUCAACAAAAACUUCAUGCCUGUUUCCUAUAGCCCCGCCCUUCCACAUAAACAACAGGAGAAAACACCCAAGUAGAAGAACAGCAAAUAGCGGAACCACAAUUCCCACUAUCAUACCAGUUCUCGAUUUCCUUGAACGACCUGCACAGACCAAAUACUGAUGGUCAUUAUUAUCCCAUUACAGCCUCACUUACCAUUUAACUUUCCAGGAUACCAAAUUUUGAUAUUUUCCUAAACUCCAGCUGUCAUAGUUCAAGAUUUCCAUACUGCGUGAUUAUAAGAUACAUAUACCUGCAUUUUCAGAUGCACAAGGCGGGGAAGAAAUGAUGCCACAGUCCAACUGGUUCCCCGUAAAACUAAAGGUGAAGCAAAGCAACUAAAGUUCAGUCGAAGUAGAAUCAUUCAAAGUUAAUUACAUAAGGAUAUGUGAUAAUAACAUGCAAACAAGCACGAUACACGCAACUCACUAGACAUGGAGAUGAGAGGUUGUUCAUACUUAUGUUUGGAAAUCUGAAAUAACUGCUUUGGAAUUUUUCCUCCCAAUCUAUUUGAAGCAAGCUGGCUGAAGAAAAAAAAUGUUAUCAUCAAUGACAGGUAUAGAAACACUGAAUUUAAAGUUGACAUAUAGGUUCCAUUGUAAAA